This 406-nucleotide ribosomal RNA is filed under the name uncultured bacterium. RNAcentral describes it as "partial 16S ribosomal RNA". It matches the Rfam family "Bacterial small subunit ribosomal RNA", at positions 30 to 526 of the family's 1533-position model. The record is from RNAcentral.
AUUGAACGCUGGCGGCAGGCCUAACACAUGCAAGUCGAACGAGUGGCGGACUGGUGAGUAAUGUCUGGGAACCUGCCUGAUGGAGGGGGAUAACUACUGGAAACGGUAGCUACUACCGCAUACCAUCAGAUGUGCCCAGCUGGGAUUAGCUGGUUGGUGGGGUAACGGCUCACCAAGGCGACGAUCCCUAGCUGGUCUGAGAGGCUGACCAGCCACACUGGGACUGAGACACGGUCCAGACUCCCACGGGAGGCAGCAGUGGGGAAUAUUGGACAAUGGGCGCAAGCCUGAUGGAGCCAGGCCGCGUGGAUGAAGAAGGUCUUCGGUUUGUAAAGCUCUUUUAGCGGGGAAGCGGUACCCGCAGAAGAAGCACCGGCUAACUCCGUGCCAGCAGCCGCGGUAAUAC